This is a long non-coding RNA of Lytechinus pictus (painted urchin), 2729 nucleotides long. RefSeq lists it as uncharacterized. The transcript is spliced from 2 exons. Lineage: Eukaryota; Metazoa; Echinodermata; Echinoidea; Temnopleuroida; Toxopneustidae. The record is from RefSeq and is a predicted model, not a curated record.
GUGGUUUUCUAUGCCCUCACCGAAGGAUUUCAUCGUUCCAGCUCUGUCUAUGACAGCUUGCGAUAUGCUGCAGAGUCUGAAAGAAAGACUGCAUCUGUUGAGAGAGCAGCUUUCACCCACUCUCUUCGAUAGGCUAUGGCAGGAUAUCUCAGGCAAGCUCAACAAGUUUUUAUUUCAAGAGGUCAUUUUUACUAACCAGUUCAAUGAAGGUGGAUCAACCCAACUUCAUUUUGAUAUGACAAGGGGUCUGUUCCCACUGUUUGGAGAAUUCACACAGCGGCCAGAGAACUUCUUUAAAGAGUAAGUUUUGUCUUAAGAGAGAAAAUGUGUUCUGACUCCUGGAUUCCAAAGUAAUAUUUAAAUGUAUAAUAUUCAUGAUGAUGCAAUGAGUGGCCAAGCAGUCUUCAUAUUUCUCCUUUUUUUCCCCAAAAGUAUGAAAGACUGCCAAAUUCUUUUUUGCACUUUCCCUGAAAUGUUCAUAAAUGUUACACAUAUUCUUUUCUUGUAAUGCACAUAGAUUUUGUAAAUGUGUCUUUGUCAAUCAGUCUGAUUUUGCUGUAUUUAGUAUGGUUUUUCAAAAAAAUUUAUACUGCCCUAUGAUUCUUCUCCACAUUUUUUACACGCAUUGGUUUACAGAAUAUUUAAUUCGCAGAGGUUGGCAGGUCUAGACUUGAAUAAUAUAGUAGAUUACUUUAAUGUUUUUUUUUUUCAUACAUAAAUGCUAGGAAAUGUUUAUAUUUAAAAAAAGGAUUGAAUCUGCUUUUUUGAUAAAACGUGAUUUAGGUCUUGUGAUAAACCUAUUUCCAAUAGAACCAUUGCAAUAAUAAUGAUAAAAAUGGAUAAAGAAGACUUGUCAAAUCAGAAUUUUACAAUUGUUUGUUUAAAUCAUUUAUUUGUUUAUUAUUGAACCUGACAAGUGCUCUACAUUAUUAAAUGAUUUUCAUUUGCUAGUGGCUUUUCGCAAAUAUUUAAAGAAUUGACUGGUGUCAAGUCAUGCAUUGUUGCACUUCCUCAAAAAUAAAUCUUGUUCUAUGAAUUCUGCUUUAGAUAUUGCACCUUGAAAGUUGAAGGAAAACAGUGUUUAAAUAGCAUUGAGAAUUCAAGAUUGACAUUUGAAGAAGGCUGUAAGGGUUCAUGAAGUGUUUCACAUUGGAGAGUAAUCCUUGAUAUGAGGAUUUGAUUAUUGCAUUGUUUGUGACAUUGGGUGUUGCUCAAGUAUGGAUUUAUUAUUAAGGGAAACCUUGUGAAACUAAAGAGACGGAGAGUGAGAAAGAUUAAGAAACAGAGACAGAGAGGGGUCGAAGCGGACAAAGGGGGGCGGGGGGAGUGGAGGAAUGAGAGAGACAGGUGGAGAGAGAGCAUUCAGGGAGACAUAACAUGAACUAGGUCCAUAUAUUUUCUAAGCUAUGAUGACAUUUUAAAAACUUAACCUUAGGUUAAGAUUUUGAUGUUGAUUCCCCCAACAUGGUUUAAGUUCAUUGACCUUAAAUGACCUUUGACCUUGGUCAUGUGACCUGGUUAAGAUUUCAUUGUUGACAAUGCACCGUCGCUGUUGCCGCCAUUGGAAAAGUGGCACCUAUAGUCUUACUCUGCUAUGCAGACGAGACAAAAAUAAAAACAGAUGAAAGUCAGUUUCAUAUGAUACAAGAAGAAAUUUGAGAGAGAUCAAGAGAGAGAGAGGGAGGUUGGGAGAUGAGGAUAUGGGGAGUCUAUAUUUUUUCAACAAUAUUUUGAUGUUAUUUAUUAUUUCAUAAAAUGUGAACAAGGCUAAUAGAACACAGAUAUAUAAACUUGAGUUUAAGUUUUUGAAUGAUUAAUUUUUACCUCAUUUGAGCAAGUCUCAUUUUCAUGUAAUAAAGACAAGAUCUUUUUUUUUUACUUGUUUAGUCAUCCAAAUGCCUUUUAUUGAGUCAAAUGAUUUCACAACAUACACAAGCAAAAAAUUAUUACACAAUCAAUUAAGGAAUAAUGAAUAAUACUUCACAUUUCUUUCAAUUAAAUGAAGAAUGAAGUGACAUCCAGACAGACAAGUUCAUGGUUAGGAUACAAAAAGAAACUGAGAAAGGGGGAGACGGGAGAGAGGGACAGAGAGAGAAAGAGACAAGAAGAGAGAAGCUGAGAACGUAUAGUAGUAGAGACAGAGAGACUAAAUAUUGUUUUACAACUAGUUUUCAAUGAUUUUUGGAGUUCAUACUUGUACACCACAAGCUUUCAACACUAGGAAAAUUAAGAUCCCAGAUAUGAAUAAUUGAAUAUCAUGAUGGUUGUAGAUUUAAUUGUGCUCAAACUGUCACAACUAGGUAUUUGGGUGUGUGUGUGGUCUAACACAAUACCAAAUGAAUGUACUUUCAAUUAAGUCUCCACAAAUACUAUUUUGAAUUGGUUCAGAGUUCUAGAUUAGAUUGAACUUUUUUAAAAGGGAAGUUCACCCCAAAAAAAAGUUAGUUUUGAUAAAAGCAGAAAAUUUUGAGAUAAAUGUUAGUGAAGGUUGAUGAAAAUAUAUCAAAGAAUAUUAAAUAGAGUUAUGUUUUUUUUUGUAACAUCAUAUGUUCGCAGCUCCUCCAGAUAUCUUUAUGUAUACAUUGAUAUUAUUGAACAGCUUUGAAACCAACUUUUCCAAACCUUCUUCUUUAAUUUCUACUCUUAUUGAAACCAAUUUAUCAUCAGGGUGAUUCCCCCUUUGAAGUCUGUCUGUCAAAAGCAACCCCCACCCCCUCCCCUCAAGAAAA